Molecule: ribosomal RNA, 253 nt
Filed under: uncultured bacterium
Lineage: Bacteria
Description: partial 16S ribosomal RNA
Rfam family: Bacterial small subunit ribosomal RNA
Source: RNAcentral
UACAGAGGAGCCAAGCGUUGUCCGGAUUGACUGGGCGUAAAGCGCACGCAGGCGGACGCGCGCGUGGGGUGUGAAAUCUGGCCGCUUAACGGCCAGGCGCCAUCCCAUACGGCGCGACUGGAGUGAUGCAGAGGUCGAUGGAAUUGCCGGUGUAGUGGUGAAAUGCGUAGAGAUCGGCAGGAACACCGGUGGCGAAGGCGGUCUGCUGGGCAGUUGCUGACACUGAUGCGCGACAGCGUGGGGAGCAAACAGG